CAGGCUCACCCCUCCGUUCCCU
RNAcentral lists this microRNA (22 nucleotides) under Mus musculus (house mouse). RNAcentral's name for it is "mmu-miR-7080-3p". The record is from miRBase by way of RNAcentral. Lineage: Eukaryota; Metazoa; Chordata; Mammalia; Rodentia; Muridae.